RNAcentral lists this long non-coding RNA (225 nucleotides) under Capsicum annuum. Its description in RNAcentral is "long non-coding RNA (CANN_LNC015093)". The record is from RNAcentral. Lineage: Eukaryota; Viridiplantae; Streptophyta; Magnoliopsida; Solanales; Solanaceae.
GCACGUGCUUCCAAAUUUCUCCACCGAACGCGCGUCUUUCGGGCCAACCCAUCUUGCUUGUAGCUAACGCCUGACCCCAUUUGGGAUGUCUCAUCGAACUUCUCGUCACCUAUUUAUCUGGCUUUCUUUACUAUAUUAAUUAGAGUUUUAUUACGUCUUGCUAAUGACAUUGUUGUACUAAUUGAACCUUUGUUAAUAAAUGUCCAUUGUCAAUUUCAACUCCCA